UCCCUGGUGGCUUAGAUGGUAAAGAAUCUUCCUGCAAUGCAGGAGACCCAGGUUCCAUCCCUGGGUUGGGAA
Transfer RNA from Ovis aries (sheep), 72 nucleotides. It matches the Rfam family "tRNA". From Rfam's summary of the family: Transfer RNA (tRNA) molecules are approximately 80 nucleotides in length. Their secondary structure includes four short double-helical elements and three loops (D, anti-codon, and T loops). The record is from Rfam. NCBI's taxonomy places the organism in Eukaryota, Metazoa, Chordata, Mammalia, Artiodactyla, Bovidae.